GACGUAGGAGGCGAGCGUUGUCCGGAUUCAUUGGGCGUAAAGAGCACGUAGGCGGUUUGUCGCGUCGGCCGUGAAAUCUCCACGCUUAACGUGGAGCGUGCGGUCGAUACGGGCAGACUUGAGUUCGGUAGGGGAGACUGGAAUUCCUGGUGUAGCGGUGAAAUGCGCAGAUAUCAGGAGGAACACCGGUGGCGAAGGCGGGUCUCUGGGCCGAUACUGACGCUGAGGAGCGAAAGCGUGGGGAGCGAACAGG
This 253-nucleotide ribosomal RNA is filed under the name uncultured bacterium. Its description in RNAcentral is "partial 16S ribosomal RNA". It matches the Rfam family "Bacterial small subunit ribosomal RNA", at positions 524 to 776 of the family's 1533-position model. The record is from RNAcentral.